This 508-nucleotide ribosomal RNA is filed under the name uncultured bacterium. RNAcentral's name for it is "partial 16S ribosomal RNA". It matches the Rfam family "Bacterial small subunit ribosomal RNA", at positions 28 to 507 of the family's 1533-position model. The record is from RNAcentral.
GACGAACGCUGGCGGCGUGCCUAAUACAUGCAAGUCGAACGCUCCUUUCCUCCCGAGUGCUUGCACUCAAUUGGAAAGAGGAGUGGCGGACGGGUGAGUAACACGUGGGUAACCUACCCAUCAGAGGGGGAUAACACUUGGAAACAGGUGCUAAUACCGCAUAACAGUUUAUGCCGCAUGGCAUAAGAGUGAAAGGCGCUUUCGGGUGUCGUUGAUGGAUGGACCCGCGGUGCAUUAGCUAGUUGGUGAGGUAACGGCUCACCAAGGCCACGAUGCAUAGCCGACCUGAGAGGGUGAUCGGCCACACUGGGACUGAGACACGGCCCAGACUCCUACGGGAGGCAGCAGUAGGGAAUCUUCGGCAAUGGACGAAAGUCUGACCGAGCAACGCCGCGUGAGUGAAGAAGGUUUUCGGAUCGUAAAACUCUGUUGUUAGAGAAGAACAAGGACGUUAGUAACUGAACGUCCCCUGACGGUAUCUAACCAGAAAGCCACGGCUAACUACGUG